This is a long non-coding RNA of Acipenser ruthenus (sterlet), 1903 nucleotides long. RefSeq lists it as uncharacterized. The transcript has 2 exons. Lineage: Eukaryota; Metazoa; Chordata; Actinopteri; Acipenseriformes; Acipenseridae. The record is from RefSeq and is a predicted model, not a curated record.
UAUAUAUAUAUAUAUAUAUAUAUAUAUAUAUAUAUAUAUAUAUAUAUAUAUAUAUAUAUAUAUAUGUAUAGUACAUCAUUUGUUUAUUUGAACUAACAUAUAGUCACAAAAUUUAUUUUAAUUAAGUUAACAUGUUUAAGAGACACACAGACAAAUGUACAGAUGAUCCCUGCAUAUGCCCCAGAUUCACAGACUGUCGAUAGCUUGUAUGUCCAAACCAAGUUUUACCACAACUGAAAUGUGUUUCUCUAGAUAUACAUUACAUACUGUGUAUAUUAUAUAAAUGUAACAUACAGACGGUCAGACAAUCAGCUGCCAUAUAACCCCAGGUUCCCAUUCAAUUCGAAGACGACCAACAAAGACAUUAUAUAUGGGAUAUGCCUGCCCAUUGGGUAGGUAUCGCUGAGCUCUCUAUACCAAAGCUGCCGAUAGACCCCUUCCUUGAAUGAUGCACUCGGUCCCGCCCACCGAGGGGAUAAAACUGCUAUCCAAAGGAAGCCAUUUCUCUUUUUCCUUCUCAAGAUGAUUAGGUAAGACCUCUGUGUUUAGCUGAGCGUAUUGAUAGAAAAGAGCUUCUCGAGUCGAAUCGGUUCAAUUGUAUUUCCCUUGCAUUCCUGCUGAAAGCUGGCUUACCACUUUCCCGGAAUCAACGACUUUGAAAAGAUCGAGCCUUUUUGCCUUUGUCUUUCAGCGGCCUCCUUGCUUGUGUGGUAGGCCGCUCUUUGUUAUCUGUCUGUCGUGUGUGAGCGACUGCCUGUGCAGUCAUCCACGAGCGGUUGUCUUUUCUUCCAGAGAGUACACAGUUCCUCCACGGGGCUAGGCCUUGCUGUAUCCCCGCUGCUGAGUGACUUCCAGCCACGUCUCCUCCACUGGGCUAGGCCUUGCUGCAUCCCCACUGUCGAGUAGACCCUCUAAUCUGUGUAGGCCCGCCCACCACGGUGUAUCGGGUCUUGUAUUAUCUUUGAGCUAAAAUAUAUAUAUAUAUAUAUAUAUAUAUAUAUAUAUAUAUAUAUAUAUAUAUAUAUAUAUAUAUAUAUAUAUAUAUAUGUAUAUGUAUAUGCAGUUUUGCUUUUGUGGAUGAGGAAAAAAAAGUUACAAGAAAUAGAUGACAUGUAUUGGAACUAAAUUUCCUGUGCCAUUAGAGGAAAAUCAGACCCAUAGAAGGAUAUUACCACCUCCAUGCUUGACAGUAGGUAUGGUGUUCUUUUGUUUGUACACCUUACCAGACUUUCUCCAAACAAAGCGGAAUGUUGUCAGCAGUUGGACGACCAGAGUCUAAAUACAGCUAUGCUUGUUUGGAAACACGAAACCACUGCAAAACACUGGGAGUGGAAAACCCUGUGUGUGUUGUGGCCGACCACCUCUUCCCAGAUGGGAGAGUUAUUGCAGGACAUUUACAGGCUUUGGAAUUUUUUACAGAAGAGUCCUUGACAAGUGUCUUAAAGAAACUGGACAUACAGAAACCAAAUAUUAGUCUAUUCCAAUGUUGAUGCCAAGAAGUAUAUGCACAGAAUCAGCUUGUUUCCCCUGUGAAAUAGGAACAGACAAUGCAUGCAGUUUAUGAAAGAGUACAAGGGGUUGAGUUUCCAGAGACAUAUGAAGUGGGACCAGGGAACCAGCUAAACAUGUUGGUUUAAAUGUAUUUGAUGACGAAAAUGUUCCAAAAUUCAUAUAAGAGAAUUUAUACAUGCAGAUACCAUACAAAAGUUUGUAUUUUCCUCUGUCACCCUUAGAAGUAACCUCUCCACUGUUUACCUGUUUCUGUAUAUAACGGGAUGUUGGAAAUUAAAAAAUGUGCCCCUUUGCUAGCAAACCAUUUUUUUCUAGGCUAGUGUUUUGGCUGUAACUUAUAUGAGGGGGGGGCAAGGUAAAACUGAAGGAAAUAAAGUAGGUGCUAAUCUGA